Molecule: ribosomal RNA, 67 nt
Filed under: archaeon 13_1_20CM_2_51_12
Lineage: Archaea
Description: partial 23S ribosomal RNA
Source: RNAcentral
AGUAAAUUUUAUGGUCAAGCUACUAAGGGCGCAUGGUGGAUGCCUUGGCAGAAGCAGGCGAUGAAGG